GGGUAGUUUGACUGGGGCGGUCUCCUCCUAAAGAGUAACGGAGGAGCACGAAGGUUGGCUAAUCCUGGUCGGACAUCAGGAGGUUAGUGCAAUGGCAUAAGCCAGCUUGACUGCGAGCGUGACGGCGCGAGCAGGUGCGAAAGCAGGUCAUAGUGAUCCGGUGGUUCUGAAUGGAAGGGCCAUCGCUCAACGGAUAAAAGGUACUCCGGGGAUAACAGGCUGAUACCGCCCAAGAGUUCAUAUCGACGGCGGUGUUUGGCACCUCGAUGUCGGCUCAUCACAUCCUGGGGCUGAAGUAGGUCCCAAGGGUAUGGCUGUUCGCCAUUUAAAGUGGUACGCGAGCUGGGUUUAGAACGUCGUGAGACAGUUCGGUCCCUAUCUGCCGUGGGCGCUGGAGAACUGAGGGGGGCUGCUCCUAGUACGAGAGGACCGGAGUGGACGCAUCACUGGUGUUCGGGUUGUCAUGCCAAUGGCACUGCCCGGUAGCUAAAUGCGGAAGAGA
Molecule: ribosomal RNA, 502 nt
Filed under: Escherichia coli
Lineage: Bacteria; Pseudomonadati; Pseudomonadota; Gammaproteobacteria; Enterobacterales; Enterobacteriaceae
Description: partial 23S ribosomal RNA
Rfam family: Bacterial large subunit ribosomal RNA
Source: RNAcentral